CUGCCCAGGGCUGGACACCCACUGCCCAGGGCUGGGGACAGACACUGCCCAGGGCUGGGGACAUUCACUCAGCAGGGCUGGGGACAACCACUGAGCAGCGCCAGGGGACAGGGAGGCAUCCAGCUGCUGAGGGAGCCUGUGGGAGAGCUGGACAGGGACACACAGCACCCUGAAGUGGUGGGAAAAGGGGAAUGGCUUUAGACAGAGCAGGGGGUUAGGUGGGAUAAUGGAAGGAAUUGUUCCCUGGGAGGGUGGGCAGGCCCUGGCACAGGGUGCCCAGAGCAGCUGUGGCUGCCCCUGGAUCCCUGGCAGUGCCUAAGAACACGUUGUAUGGGGCUUGGAGCAGCCUAGGACAGUAGAAGGUGUCCCUGCCCAUGACAGAUGUAGCACUGGGUGGGAUUUGAGGUCCCUUCCCACCCAAACCAUUCCAUGGUUCUAUGAAAAUGCAGGAAGAUGAAGUGAGGAAGCCAUUUGGAGAGGUAGGGACAAUGUCAUAACCCCCAGCACCUCUGUGACAUGGGCCAGGGAGGGUUUGGAAGGGUGCAGGGAUUUGGAAAAGGCUGUUGGUAACAAACCCAUUGGGGAGGUGCAGGAGCUGUGCAUAUCUGUCCAGGCUUGUGUGGAAGUGCAGGCUGCUGGACUUGUUAAAGGAGGGCUGGGCCAUGCAGAAGGCAAAGCUGAGGAACCCAAGAGCCUUUGCAGCUGAUGGCAAACACUGGCAGGAGGAGCUUGGAGAGGAUUUUAUCUGAGGUUCCCACAACCCUGGUGCACCCCUCAUGUCCCUUUUGGAGACAGCCCUGGAGCACGGGAUGCCCCUUCAUCCCCAGCCAGGCAAUCCCAGGGGUCUGCCCCUCAGCUCUGAGCACUGCUGAGUGGAAGGAAUGUGAAAAAGAGAUCAGAGCAGGGUUCUGGAGACACCUUUGUUAAAGGCAUCUGAAAUGUGGAUUCUGCUGCUGAGGCCCCGGGGGUUUGAGGAGCCAGGGGGAAGAACACAGCCCUGAGACACCCAGGAACCUCCCAGCCAUGUUAAAUAAAAAACAAGCAAAACCACUGAAAUAACAUUUUUGUGUUAAACCACUGAAAUAACAUUGCUAGCAGGCACUGGGGGAGGAUCAGCAGGAAGAUAAAUGGGCAGUGUCCCCAACAGGAAGCUAAUGACAUGUGCUGUCCUGUUGUGUACCCACACACAGAGGAGAAAGAAUGACUGCAGUUAUUUCUUUGUCACAUCAUGCUCUGAAAACCCUGCACUUGGUAGCACUGUUUGCAUGGAAGGGAUGCAGUGCAGUGCUCCAUGUAAUUAUGCAUGGGAUUAGAGGAAAUUUGGAAAUUAUAGCAUACAGAGGUACAUUAGUUUUUAAGAGAUACUUUAGGAUAAAAGGGUGGGAGUGAAGUAAAGCAGCUUAUUCCCUAUUUUUGGGUUUACUCUUGGUGCAUGGUGACUGUGGCAACCCCAGGAGGAAUUCCCUGCCCACCAGAGCUGCUCCAGCCCUGUGAGCCCAGAGGUGACCAAAUACAUUCAGUGGGGACUGGAGACAGAAUAUGGGAAUGUUUUGGGGCAGAUUUCUCUCCUGGCUAAUUCCCAGAUAUGAUUAUCCAGGCAGAGAGCUGAUGGCCUCUUUGAAAUGAAAUUUGUCUAAAAUAUGGCCCGGUCUCAAACUGGCUCCAGGCUCCUGCUUUAUCCAGUAAUAUCCUGCAAGAAAUAGCCUCCCUUAAUCCCUGGGAGAAAUGCUGCUGCAAUACCUGGGGUCUGCAAUACAUCUGCUGUUGUAUUUUUGUCACCUUAACAUUUAAAAUGCUGAUACACCAAAGAUCCCCCCUGUCUCAGCACUAGCUGGGACUGGUUUCACAGCCAGGCUUUGCUUGCCAGGCUCUGCCUACCUCUGUGCAGGAGAUAAAUUUGUGAUUACAGGGUAAUGGAUCAUGUCUGAAUUAGCUCUGCCAGAAGAGGCAGACAGAAAAUGGCAUUUA
Molecule: long non-coding RNA, 1968 nt
Organism: Passer domesticus (house sparrow)
Lineage: Eukaryota; Metazoa; Chordata; Aves; Passeriformes; Passeridae
Exons: 3
Source: RefSeq, a predicted model, not a curated record